RNAcentral lists this ribosomal RNA (744 nucleotides) under uncultured Arthrobacter sp. Its description in RNAcentral is "bacterial SSU rRNA". It matches the Rfam family "Bacterial small subunit ribosomal RNA", at positions 54 to 811 of the family's 1533-position model. The record is from RNAcentral. Lineage: Bacteria; Bacillati; Actinomycetota; Actinomycetes; Micrococcales; Micrococcaceae.
CCUGCAAGUCGAACGAUGAUCCCUAGCUUGCUGGGGGGAUUAGUGGCGAACGGGUGAGUAACACGUGAGUAACCUGCCCUUGACUCUGGGAUAAGCCUGGGAAACUGGGUCUAAUACUGGAUAUGACUGACUAUCGCAUGGUGGUUGGUGGAAAGCUUUUGUGGUUUUGGAUGGACUCGCGGCCUAUCAGCUUGUUGGUGGGGUAAUGGCCUACCAAGGCGACGACGGGUAGCCGGCCUGAGAGGGUGGACGGCCACACUGGGACUGAGACACGGCCCAGACUCCUACGGGAGGCAGCAGUGGGGAAUAUUGCACAAUGGGCGCAAGCCUGAUGCAGCGACGCCGCGUGAGGGAUGAAGGCCUUCGGGUUGUAAACCUCUUUCAGUAGGGAAGAAGCGAAAGUGACGGUACCUGCAGAAGAAGCGCCGGCUAACUACGUGCCAGCAGCCGCGGUAAUACGUAGGGCGCAAGCGUUAUCCGGAAUUAUUGGGCGUAAAGAGCUCGUAGGCGGUUUGUCGCGUCUGCCGUGAAAGUCCGGGGCUUAACUCCGGAUCUGCGGUGGGUACGGGCAGACUUGAGUGAUGUAGGGGAGACUGGAAUUCCUGGUGUAGCGGUGAAAUGCGCAGAUAUCAGGAGGAACACCGAUGGCGAAGGCAGGUCUCUGGGCAUUAACUGACGCUGAGGAGCGAAAGCAUGGGGAGCGAACAGGAUUAGAUACCCUGGUAGUCCAUGCCGUAAACGUUG